This is a long non-coding RNA of Motacilla alba alba, 255 nucleotides long. RefSeq lists it as uncharacterized. NCBI's taxonomy places the organism in Eukaryota, Metazoa, Chordata, Aves, Passeriformes, Motacillidae. The record is from RefSeq and is a predicted model, not a curated record. The transcript is spliced from 2 exons.
GAGGGAUUCCCCUCAGAGUGGCAGCGACUGCGCCACGUUGCUCCCGCGGGGACAGCGGCGGCGGCGAGCGGCGCGUUGGUGUCAUGCCCGUCUGGCGGCGGCACCCGGAGCCCGGCGAGGCGGCGGCGGAGCUCGGAGGCGGCUCCAGCCCAGGGUGCCACCAGCGCCGCUGUAAAGCUGCUCCCGAGGCCGAGCUCCGAAACGCUUUAUCAGCACUCCUGAAAUCUUGGGAGCAAGCUCCUGUUUGUUCCAGGC